This 944-nucleotide ribosomal RNA is filed under the name Hyphomicrobium sp. 27F07-MB2-8. RNAcentral's name for it is "bacterial SSU rRNA". It matches the Rfam family "Bacterial small subunit ribosomal RNA", at positions 508 to 1452 of the family's 1533-position model. The record is from RNAcentral. Lineage: Bacteria; Pseudomonadati; Pseudomonadota; Alphaproteobacteria; Hyphomicrobiales; Hyphomicrobiaceae.
CCAGCAGCCGCGGUAAUACAGAGGGUGCAAGCGUUAAUCGGAAUUACUGGGCGUAAAGCGAGCGUAGGUGGCUUGAUAAGUCAGAUGUGAAAUCCCCGGGCUUAACCUGGGAACUGCAUCUGAUACUGUCAGGCUAGAAUAGGUGAGAGGAAGGUAGAAUUCCAGGUGUAGCGGUGAAAUGCGUAGAGAUCUGGAGGAAUACCGAUGGCGAAGGCAGCCUUCUGGCAUCAUAUUGACACUGAGGUUCGAAAGCGUGGGUAGCAAACAGGAUCAGAUACCCUGGUAGUCCACGCCGUAAACGAUGUCUACUAGUCGUUGGGUCCCUUGAGGACUUAGUGACGCAGCUAACGCAAUAAGUAGACCGCCUGGGGAGUACGGCCGCAAGGUUAAAACUCAAAUGAAUUGACGGGGGCCCGCACAAGCGGUGGAGCAUGUGGUUUAAUUCGAUGCAACGCGAAGAACCUUACCUGGUCUUGACAUAUCUAGAAUCCUGCAGAGAUGCGGGAGUGCCUUCGGGAAUUAGAAUACAGGUGCUGCAUGGCUGUCGUCAGCUCGUGUCGUGAGAUGUUGGGUUAAGUCCCGCAACGAGCGCAACCCUUGUCCUUAGUUACCAGCGGGUUAAGCCGGGAACUCUAAGGAUACUGCCAGUGACAAACUGGAGGAAGGCGGGGACGACGUCAAGUCAUCAUGGCCCUUACGACCAGGGCUACACACGUGCUACAAUGGUAGGUACAGAGGGCAGCUACACAGCGAUGUGAUGCGAAUCUUUCAAAGCCUAUCGUAGUCCAGAUUGGAGUCUGCAACUCGACUCCAUGAAGUAGGAAUCGCUAGUAAUCGCGGAUCAGAAUGCCGCGGUGAAUACGUUCCCGGGCCUUGUACACACCGCCCGUCACACCAUGGGAGUUGAUUGCACCAGAAGUGGUUAGCCUAACUUAGUGAGGGCG